CCCGGCCCCGCCCCACGCCGCGCUACGGCCCGCCGGGCCCCGCAGGGAGUUCGAAGGCUCCGAGGCUGCUCCCAUACGCACUGGUGGAAGGAGAGGCCGCGCUCCCGGCUGAGCACGGUGUCACGGGUGCUGCAGCCCACUGCGGAGCAACUUCGGGUCAUCUUCUUGUUACGUGGGGCCCCACCUUCGGGGUUCCCGCGACAGCAUGAAUCACGACCACUUUAGCUCCGCCCGUUGACUGCGGCUACGACCUUUAUUUGUCAGGAAAGGCGGGCUUUAGAGGCGCGGGACUUCCACACUUCCUCUCCGAAGGCCCUGCGCCGGUACCGUAGCCAAUCACAGGCCACGUUAUGUCGCAGCAGCCAAUCGGAAGGGCCUGAGCCUGAAGACGUGCACUUGACCGCUCCUCCUUCCGCGUUGGAGGCCCAAUAGUGGGUUGUGCUGCCACAGGUUCAUUUUCCUUCUGUUUUCACCCAUUCUGGCACAAUCCGCCGCCAUCGUCGUUCUUUGUGAGACCGAGCCUGAAAAUGCGAAGCAGAGAGGCAGGACCAAAAUUGAGGCGAAUCCGGGAACCUGCCAAUGGGUCUCCGGAUGCGUUCUCUGAAACUGGAGGAUAUCGGGAGGAAAGGCUCUCCGAUGCGGAGAUAAUGCGGAAACUCUUGGCAUGGUUGGCUGUAGGUACCUGAUACGGGAGGAGCGGGAGUCAAAUAGGAUACGCCGACUUUUAAUUCGAGGAACCCUUUUCUGAAACACUGCCACAAUGAAGGACAUAAGGAAUAAAAUUGAAGGGUGUUUUUCUUAGAGAACAUCAUUUGUCAUAUUUAUUUGAUCAAGAAGUUGAAGAUUUAUGUAAUAAGGAUCUAGUUUGAAGCACUAAGAAGAAUAAGACAUCAGUUUGAAAAGAGGCUCUGUCAGAGCAACACGAAUUCUGCUAAAAUUGAAGGAAGAACAAACAUCAAAUAUAUGUUGACACUUGGGUGGAAGAAUGGUGAGCUAAUUGAUGCUUUAUGAAAAGUUUAUGGGGACAAUGCUCCAAAGAAAUCAGUUUACAAAUGGAUAACUCGUUUUAAGAAGGGAUAAGGUAAUGUUGAAGAAGAAGCCCACAGUGGCAGAUCAUCCACAUCAGUUUGUGAGAAAAAAAUUAGUUCAUGGCAUAAUUGAAGAAAACCAACAGUUAACAGCAGAGACGACAGCCAACACCAUAGACAUCUCAGUUGGUUCACCUUACACAAUUUUGACUGGAAAAGUUCAGCAAACUUUAUACCUGAUAGGUACCAAAACCACUGCACCCAGAUCAACUACAGAGAACAGAACUUUCAAUGGAAAUUUUAAAUAAGUGGGAUCAGGAUCGUGAAGCCUUUCAUUGAAAAAUUGUAACAGGAGAUGAAACAUGGUUUUACCAGCGCAAUCCUGAAGACAAAACACAAAGCAAUGUUACCAAGAUAAGAAGUAGUUCAGUCAAAGCACAAGUGGACUGGUUGAGAACAAAGAUCAUGGCAACAGCUUUUGAAUGCUCAAGGCAUUUUGCUUGUUGACUUUCUGUAGGGCCAAAGAAUGGUAACGUGCUUAUCAUGGGAGUAUUUUGAGAAACUUAGCCAAAGCUUUAGCAGAAAAAUGCCCGAGAAAGAUCAGAGAGUUCUUCACCACAACAAUGUUCCUACUCAUCCCUCUCAUCAAACAAGGGCAAUUUUGCAAGAGUUUUGAUGGGAAAUCACUAGGCAUCCACCCUACAGUCCUGGUUUGGCUCCUUCUGACUUUUUGUUUCCUAAUCUUAAAAAUUUUUUUAAGGGCAGUACAUUUUUCUAAAGUUAAUGUAAAAACACUGCAUUGAUGUGGGUAAAUUCCCAGAACUCUCAGUUCUUUAGGGAUGGACUAAAUUUUAUAGCUGGUAUCAUCACUUACAAAAGUGUCUUGAACCCUAUAGAGCUAAUGUUCAGAAAUAUCGUUUAUAUUUUUAUCUUUUAAUUCCAUUUUUCUACAAACUUUUUGAAGUCUCCUUGAAUAUGUACCCUUUAUAAAGGGGAAAAAUUCUGUGACUAAUGUUGACUUAAUGCUGACUUAAUUUUCUAUUUUGUAAAUAUAUACAAACAUAAAAGUUGAUACAAAUUUUGUUCAUAGCCCUUAACAAAUUUGUGAAAUAAAUGCAUUCAGAAACAAACUAAAACAUUAAUGAAAUGGAUGCUACUGUUUUACUGAGGUGUAAACAUAGUACUGGCUGCUAUGGAAACAGUUACAUAAACAGUCAUGUGCCUUGUGAUGA
Molecule: long non-coding RNA, 2260 nt
Organism: Mandrillus leucophaeus (drill)
Lineage: Eukaryota; Metazoa; Chordata; Mammalia; Primates; Cercopithecidae
Exons: 4
Source: RefSeq, a predicted model, not a curated record